Molecule: non-coding RNA, 68 nt
Organism: Nyctereutes procyonoides (raccoon dog)
Lineage: Eukaryota; Metazoa; Chordata; Mammalia; Carnivora; Canidae
Source: the annotation of a RefSeq genome assembly
GAGAUAUUAGUAAAACAUUACAUGACCUUGUCGAGGUCAAGUUAUGGGUAAAAACCCCAUAUAUCUCU